UAGGCAACCUACCUCGAAGACGGGAAUAUACGGCAGAAAUGCCGGGCAAUAACCGAUAAUGUCUCUUCCUUCAAGGGUUGAGAAGAAAGGCGCAAACCGCUUUGAGACGGGCUUAUCUCCUAUCACGGCAGUUGGUAAGGUAACGGCUUACCAAACCUACGACGGGUAGCUGGUCUGAGAGGACGGUCAGCCACAUUGGGACUGAGACACGGCCCAGACUCCUACGGGAGGCAGCAGCCGGGAAUAUUCGGCAAUGGGCGAAAGCCUGACCGAGCGACACCGCGUGAGCGACGAAGGCCUUCGGGUCGUAAAGCUCUUUUAUUUGGGAAGAAUGCAUAGUAAUAUGUUUGACGGUACCAUUUGAAUAAGCCCCAGCUAACUACGUGCCAGCAGCUGCGGUAAUACGUAGGGGGCAAGCGUUAUCCGGAAUCACUGGGCGUAAAGGGUCCGCAGGUGUCCCGUUAAGUUAGAUGUUAAAUCGCAAGGCUCAACCUUGCGGCUGCAUCUAAUACUGACAGGAUAGAGGAUAGGUGACGGAAGUGGAAUUCCUGGUGGAGAGGUAAAAUCCGUAGAUAUCAGGAGGAACACCCGUGGCGUAGGCGGCUUCCGAACCUAUUCCUGACACUCAGGGACGAAAGCUAGGGGAGCAAACAGGAUUAGAUACCCUGGUAGUCCUAGCUGUAAACGAUGAAUACUAGAUAGUGGGUGCUACACCGUACUCACCGUCGUAGCUAACGCGUUAAGUAUUUCGCCUGGGAACUACGAUCGCAAGUUUGAAACUCAAAGGAAUUGACGGGUCCCCGCACAAGCAGCGAGGCAUGUGGCUUAAUUCGAUGCAACACGAAGAACCUUACCUGGACUUGACAUGUUUCUGAAAGGCCGGAGAAACCCGGUCCCUUCCAGUUUACUGGAACAGUUUCACAGGUGGUGCAUGGUUGUCGUCAGCUCGUGUCGUGAGAUGUAAGGUUAAGUCCCUAAACGAGCGUAACCUUUGUCAUUAGUUGCCACCGGUUUGGCCGAGCAUUCUAAUGAGACCGCUAGCGUCAAGAUAGAGGAAGAUGGAGAUGACGUCAAAUCCUCA
Molecule: ribosomal RNA, 1081 nt
Filed under: uncultured organism
Description: bacterial SSU rRNA
Rfam family: Bacterial small subunit ribosomal RNA
Source: RNAcentral